RNAcentral lists this ribosomal RNA (863 nucleotides) under uncultured bacterium. RNAcentral describes it as "bacterial SSU rRNA". It matches the Rfam family "Bacterial small subunit ribosomal RNA", at positions 56 to 887 of the family's 1533-position model. The record is from RNAcentral.
UGCAAGUCGAGCGGAGACCAGUGGGUAGCAAUAUUCCCUGGUUUUAGCGGCGCAAGGGUGCGUAACACGUGGGCAAUCUGCCUUGAAGACCGGGAUAACUUCGGGAAACCGUUGCUAAUACCGGAUGUGGAAGACGGGGGGAAUCCCCCGAAUUCUGAAGCUGGGGACUGUAACAGGCCUGGCGCUUCAAGAUGAGCCCGCGGCCUAUCAGCUUGUUGGCGGGGUAACGGCCCACCAAGGCCAAGACGGGUAGCUGGUCUGAGAGGAUGACCAGCCACACUGGAACUGAGACACGGUCCAGACACCUGCGGGUGGCAGCAGUCGAGAAUCUUUCACAAUGGGCGCAAGCCUGAUGGAGCGACGCCGCGUGGGGGAUGAAGGGCUUCGGCCCGUAAACCCCUGUCAUGGGCGAGCAAGGCCGGCGGGUUAACAGCCUGCCGGAUUGAUAGUAGCCCAAGAGGAAGGGACGGCUAACUCUGUGCCGGCAGCCGCGGUAAUACAGAGGUCCCAAGCGUUGUUCGGAUUCACUGGGCGUAAAGGGUGCGUAGGCGGUGGGGUAAGUUCGUUGUGAAAUCUCCGGGCUCAACCCGGAAACGGCAACGAAUACUAUCCCGCUGGAGGGUUGGAAGGGGGACUGGAAUUCUCGGUGUAGCAGUGAAAUGCGUGGAUAUCGAGAGGAACACCAGUGGCGAAGCGAGUCCCUGGACAACUCCUGACGCUCAGGCACGAAAGCUAGGGGAGCAAACAAGAUUAGAUACCCUGGUAGUCCUAGCCCUAACGGUGCACGUUUGCUGUGGGCGGAUUCGACCCCGUCCGUGGCCGAAGCUAACGCGUUAAACGUUGCCGCCUGGGGGAGUACGGUC